Molecule: ribosomal RNA, 483 nt
Filed under: uncultured bacterium
Lineage: Bacteria
Description: partial 16S ribosomal RNA
Rfam family: Bacterial small subunit ribosomal RNA
Source: RNAcentral
GACGAACGCUGGCGGCGUGCUUUACACAUGCAAGUCGAACGGUGAAGGUGGAGCUUGCUCCGCCGGAUCAGUGGCGAACGGGUGAGUAACACGUGGGCAACCUGCCCCUAACUUUGGGAUAACUACUCGAAAGAGUAGCUAAUACCGGAUAUGAAGUCUGUAGGCAUCUAUGGAUUUGGAAAGUUUUUCGGUUAGGGAUGGGCCCGCGGCCUAUCAGCUUGUUGGUGAGGUAGUGGCUCACCAAGGCGACGACGGGUAGCCGGCCUGAGAGGGCGACCGGCCACACUGGGACUGAGACACGGCCCAGACUCCUACGGGAGGCAGCAGUGGGGAAUAUUGCGCAAUGGACGAAAGUCUGACGCAGCGACGCCUCGUGAGGGACGAAGGUCUUCGGAUUGUAAACCUCUUUCAGCAGGGACGAAGCGAAAGUGACGGUACCUGCAGAAAAAGCACCGGCUAACUACGUGCCAGCAGCCGCAGUAA